UACAGAGGGUGCAAGCGUUGUUCGGAAUUAUUGGGCGUAAAGCGCGUGUAGGCGGCUUGGCAAGUCGGGUGUGAAAGCCCUCAGCUCAACUGAGGAAGUGCGCCCGAAACUGCUGAGCUUGAGUGCCGGAGAGGGUGGCGGAAUUCCCCAAGUAGAGGUGAAAUUCGUAGAUAUGGGGAGGAACACCGGUGGCGAAGGCGGCCACCUGGACGGUUACUGACGCUGAGACGCGAAAGCUAGGGUAGCAAACGGG
Molecule: ribosomal RNA, 253 nt
Filed under: uncultured bacterium
Lineage: Bacteria
Description: partial 16S ribosomal RNA
Rfam family: Bacterial small subunit ribosomal RNA
Source: RNAcentral